GGCCUGAUAGUUCAAUGGAUAGAAUGGCGGUUUCCUAAACCGUAGAUUCGGGUUCGAUUCCCGGUCGGGCUA
This 72-nucleotide transfer RNA is filed under the name Bacteroidales bacterium. Its description in RNAcentral is "tRNA-Arg". It matches the Rfam family "tRNA". From Rfam's summary of the family: Transfer RNA (tRNA) molecules are approximately 80 nucleotides in length. Lineage: Bacteria; Pseudomonadati; Bacteroidota; Bacteroidia; Bacteroidales. The record is from RNAcentral.